This is a long non-coding RNA of Macaca fascicularis (crab-eating macaque), 2215 nucleotides long. NCBI's taxonomy places the organism in Eukaryota, Metazoa, Chordata, Mammalia, Primates, Cercopithecidae. The record is from Ensembl.
GUUUUUUUUUUUUUUUUUGUAUUUUUUUUUUAGUAGAGACGGGGUUUCACUGUGUUAGCCAGGAUGGUCUCGAUCUCCUGACCUCGUGAUCCGCCCGUCUCAGCCUCCCAAAGUGCUGGGAUUACAGGCUUGAGCCACCGCGCCCGGCCCAGAUGAGUUCUUAACCAGUGCUAUAAAGGAAAAAAAUAAAAAUCAUAAAGACUGGAAAAAAACAUGAAACUGUCUUUAUUCAGAGACUGUUAUAUAGAAAAUCUUAUAAAAUACACAAAAACACUCUUAUAACUGAGUCCAGCAAGGGGAAUAAACAAGAAUCAAGUCUAUCUUUACAUAUUAUCAAUACUUGAGGAAUUUUUAAAAAUUAUAUAUUUUUUUAAAAAACCACAAAAUACUUAAGGAUAAAGCAAAAUAUUUGCAAAGCCUAUACCCUGUAAGCUACAAAAUGCUGCCAAGAGCCGAGAAACACUGAAGAUCUAAAUAAAUGAAGAGAUACACCAUUUAUAAAGAUUCAAUAUUGUUAAGAUGUCAACUCUUCCCAAUUGUUCCACAGAUAAGAUGCAAGUCCCAUAAAAAUUCCACCAGGGUUCUUUUUUAAAAAAAUUAAUGAAAUGAAAUCCUAGAAGACCCAAAACAAUUUUGAAAAUUUAGAACCUGGAGGAAAUAAGCCACCUGAUUUCAAGACUUACUAUAUAGCUAUAGUAAUCAAAGCAGUGUGGUAUUACAUAAUGAUAAACACAUUGAUCAAUGGAACAGAACACUCUCCUGAAACAGACCUGCAUACAUAGAGUCAACUGAUUUUCAACAAAUGAGCAAAGGAAAUGUCUUUUUAAUAAUGGAGGCUACAACUGGAUACACAUAUGUAAGAAAAAAAUCAAACUUGAUUGUUUCCUGACAUAUACACCAAAACUUAUUUGAAAUGGCUCACAGACCUAAAUGUGAGAGCCAAAACUUUAAAACUUCUACAAGAAAAGGUAGUAAAAUAAAAAUCUUUGUGCCUCUGGAUUAGGCAAAGAUUUCUCAGGAAGAACACAAAAAGCUUGAACCAUAAAACAAAAUGUGAAAGUAGACUUCAUCAGAACUUACAAUUUCUGCUGUUUGACAUAUACCACACUAAGAGAAAAGGCAAGCAGGUGACUGGGAGAAAAUACUCAUAACACAAACAUCUGAGAAAGGACUUACAUGUAGGAUAUUCAAAUAACUCUUCCAACUCAAAAACAGAAAAAGAACAAUUUGAAAAUGGGCAAGAGUUGAAUAGUUACUUGACGAAAGAUGUACAAAUGACCUAUAAGUACAUGAAAAAGUGCUCAACAUCAUUAAUGUUCAGAGAACUGCAAGUUUAACUACAAUGAGAUUCCACAUUUCCACUAGAGUGGCUAAAAUGUGUUGAUGAGGAUGUGGAGUAACUGGACUCUCACAUAUUGCUGCUGGGAAUGCAAAAUGAUUCCACCACUUUGUAAAUUGGCCAUUUCUCCCAGAGUCAAACAUACACUUACCUUAUACACUUACCUUAUAAGAGAAAUGAAAACAUAUAUCCACAGAAAGACUUCUAUACAUCUAGUCAUGGCAACUUUAUCAUGACCAAAAACUGUAUAGAACUGAAAAAUCCAUCACUAGGUAAAUGGAUAAACAAUUUCUGGUAUAUCCACACAAAUACCACUGAGCAAUGAAAAGGACUGAAUGACACACAUUCAGGAAUCUCAGAACCAUUGUGCUAGAAGAAGAUACAAAAAGGACUGUGAUAAAUGAUAUGAAACUCUAGAGAAGUCUGAGUAUACCUUUGACAAAACUCUACAACUGUACACCUCAAAUAGGUGCAUUUUAUAUGUAAGUUAUAGCUUGGUAAAGUUAACAUUUUCUAUGUAUUAGAGGACAUAAGAUUUCUCCUCUUUAAAAUAGGAACAACAAUAUCUACAUCAUAUGUUGUUGUGAUAAGUAAAUGAGUUAGGAUUAGUUCCUAUGAAACACUAAAGGCUUGUCUGGCAUAUAAUAAAAACAAAAAUAUGUUAGCAGGAUAACUACACGACAAAGUCACUAUAACCAGUAGUUCUCAAUUUAGAGUAACUGUGCCCCCCCAGGAGAAACUGGGCAAUGUCUGCAAACAUUUCUGAUUGUCAUGAUUGGAGGGGUACUACCAGCAACUAGCCAACAGAGGUCAGGGAUGUUGCUAAACAUCCUACAAGGCAUAGAACAGCCUACAUAACAAAGAAUAAUCUGACCC